Molecule: transfer RNA, 50 nt
Filed under: Tyrophagus putrescentiae
Lineage: Eukaryota; Metazoa; Arthropoda; Arachnida; Sarcoptiformes; Acaridae
Description: tRNA-Ala
Source: RNAcentral
UAAGGAUGGUAAAUAAUUUCUUUUGCACUGAAGUUUUCUAUGCCAACCUU